GCUUCCACCAUCGCCACGUAGAGUCGCUGACUCUGCACGCUACACGCGGCUCGUGCACGCGCCGCCUCUUCUGCGCGCGGUAUCUGAUCCGUCGCCGAGGGAGAACAAUCCUGCGAGUCAGUCACCACUGCUCAUUGAUCUCAGAGGUCACUGAUGGACAGAGGUCACUAGGAGGUGCCGUCACAAACACAUGGAGGUAAAGCCACAAAUGUUUCCAUGGCAUUUUCGUGGUUGCGCAUAUUUAUAAAUUGCUAAGAGUCAUAAUGUGAUAAUGCGCAUUUCUCAUGGACACUUACCGGUUAAGCAUUAUGUGAUUAGGUUGUUUUCACCGGGUUUGAUAAAAUACAGUUAGUUACUUAGAUGAUAAAUUUAAUUUUUUUUUCUUUUGUAAAUCUCACAAGUGUGUGUUGUGCGUGGAUGAUGUUCGAUUUCCUAACAGCUGUGCAUGUUUCAUGUAUUGCUUUCUGUACCAUCUGUUCUGCCUCGCUGCCAGAUAGAGAGUUCAGCCAAAAUGCUAUUGUGUUUUCACAAACAUUAUGAACAAUUUUAUGCUAAUCCUUCUUAGCCAGUGCUAUAGGAACCGAGCGUUUCCUUAUGGUUAAAUUCUGUUUGUUUAACCACGCCUGAGCAGACUGAUAUAAUUGUUGCUGUUAGUAGAUCACAGAGGCGUCAGGUCAAAGGUCAAAGCGGAUGGAAUAUUUCCGGUAUUUAUGCUACACACCUACAUCUCGUUUUUAUCAACAUUAAACUGAAAAAUAAAUACUAAUUUCCGUAAGCCUAAUUCAGCAAAAUUGCUUUGUAGUUUGAUGUUAACUUAGUAUAAUUCGAGAUAUUUCCUGAAAAUAAAAUAAUCAGUAACGCCUGCUGAGAUGUGAUUGGCCUUAAGACGAAAACGUACAUAGUUUGACAAACAAUGACAAAUGAAACAGUUGCAAGGAAUGAUUAACUAACCGAAAGUCAAACAUGGAGGUCCACACCUGUUACACAUCUGUUAGCAGUCUCAUUUAUCUCAGUGACACAUUACACAGACGGCGCAGGACCCUACAGAAGCGUGUGACGGGAAGUCAUCUGUAUUCAUGGGGGUUAUAUUGCGUCACUCACCCGAGCUGUAAUGCCAUGUGACUUAUUGGUCUGUGUAAGAAACCAACAGUUGGGGAAAACAUGAGUCUUUUUAUUUUACUGUUUAUGGAUUUUGGAAAACGACCUUUCGUACAGUGUGUAACACAAGUGACUGAAAACAUCCUGCAGAGAUUCAAAUCUGAAAACGCACCGUGUAUAAAGUUGUUGUCUCUCAAAAGAAAGAGUUGACUCUGAAUCAUUGAAACGAGUCGUUUUAAAACGAAUCCCAAGCCGUUUCAUGUUGACGGCAAAAUAAAAUAUUGCAUGUAUCGUAAUAUUAGCAUAUUGCCAUCACACUUGUUGGUCUUUUGUCUGAAUUAAAAUGCAACUUCGUUCUUUUCCAUUAGGCCUGCUUUUAUAGCUUUAAAAGCUUACAAACGAUUCUGACUGCAGGGGAUUGGAAAAAUGAAUCAUAGAACAAGGGGAGUGAUUGAAGAAAUGAGGGACAUCGUUAGAAGUGACCUCUGUGACGAUGGUGACAUUCAGAAACAGUAUUGUAAAUUGCAUGCACAAGAUAACAUGCUCGUGAAUUAAGCCUGCGUACUGAUGAAGCCAAAAUAGCUUCGUUUAAAGCCUGUUGCACCACACUAUACACUGCUCACUUCUGGUGCAGUUACAGUAAAGCUAAAUGCAACAAGUUGCAGGUUGCAUACAAUGAUGCAUUGCGACAAAAAUACAAAGCCCCUCAGCGGAACAAGAGCCAGUCAGCUUUUUGUUCAGAAUCAUGUGCCCGUGUUACAUGCUGUAAAAAGAAAUGUUGCGUAUUUAUAAAGCGACUCCAGCAUAUCUGUGUGUGUGUGUGUGUGUGUGUGUGUGAUGCAGCACAUUAACACAGAACUAUUAUUAAACUAUCAGUAGUUGUGACAACCUGUGCAUUACACACUUUAUCUAACAAGAAUUCACGUGGAUCAUGCUGGAAAUGUUUCGCAGUGCGAUGCUAAAUGAACGACCCCAAUAACACACGCCGAUGUUUUUAAAACCCAGAGUAGAGACAGAGAGGAGCACCAGUGCAUUCCCGUCUCUAUCCACAAAAAAAGGAAAUUAGUGCCAAUGAUAAGUAGAGCAUGAUGAAGAUGACGAGCAUAUUCUCACUGUUCUGACAGGUGUGAAGAGUCAUUCUGUACACUGUGCAUGAGCCGCUCUUUUCUUUUCUCUUUCCGAUCCCGCUGUCUUCGGGUUGAGCGGCACAAACAGAACCCUGUCAGAAAGUGCUCCUCAACUGGGACAGACAUUUCUUCUAAGUGUUACACAUCACCUUUGGGAAAGUGAGCCGUGUGUUUGUGAGAGGAAGUGCGUCGCUUGGCUGUCACUCAGACUCUGGAUUAACUGACGGCGGAGGUCUGCUGCAUCAUGGGAAGCUGCUGUACAGGCUGUCUGCCUCAGUGGGCCGCUCAGCUCCCCGGAGAACCGAGCGAUCGACGGCUUCUAGUGGGAGCUGCCGUAACUCAGCAUUCUCAGGGCUCUCAUUAAGAGAACCGCUCAUGGAUACAGAAGAGGGAGAAAAAGUAAUAUUGGAUUUUUUUUGGUGUGUUUCAUCAGUCGAAACUGCGCGCAAAGGGUUUACGAAAUGUAUUAGCGCACAAUAUUGCUGAAAUGUGAGUUUAAAGGGUAGAUGUUAAAGGGUUUGUUCACGGCAAAAUGAAAGUUCUUGAAAUGAAAAAGACCUUUGUUCAUCCUGAGAACACAACCAAAUAUAUCAUACAAACUGAAAUAGACAGCAACGCAACUCAAAUGUUCCCAGAUCCAGAAACCUAAAACAGUCCGUGGCUCAACUUCAAUUUUGCAACACAUUUUUGCAUAAAGAAAACAUAAAUAACAUCAUUUACUCGACCAUUCUUUUCCCCUGAGAGCAUCACAACGCAUACGCACACUUUAACGUUAUAGCGCGCUCAUGGAAAGCGUACGUAUGUGUUGUGGUACUCUCUAAAAUGGCAGAAGAAAUAACUCCUGUAUUUUAGUUAGGGUCAGAUAGCUCUGUGAUUUCUUUGAAAAUAUAUUCUUUUGUGUUCCGAAGAUGAACAAAGGUCUUGCGGGUAUGGAACGACGCGAGGGUCAGUGCUUAAUGACUGAUUUUUUACGUCGCGGUAAACUAAACCUCUGAUAGAAAAAAAUAAAUGUGGCUAUUAUUAACAUGUAAGUUUAAAAGUCAGAUGAUGAAAACAUCAGGCUAAUAUCAACAAGUAUAAAUGUAGAAGCAUGUCUGCUGUAACAUCAAAGUCCAGGACACUAGAGAACCCCUCGGAGGCGUCCCACCGCUGCCACACGGAAAUAUCCUCACUUCAAACUCAAGUGUGCAAAGUGCAGGCUCAGAGGUCUGGCCAGGGAAAUCAAUGCUCAACCCAAAUGUAAUAUCAUUUCUGUGAAGGGUUGCAUUUGUUAAUUGGAUCUUGAUUCGUUGUUUUGUGAGGCUGCCUACAGUAUAAUCAAGUCUUGUAAAUACAAAUAAAACUUCUUCCCACCCUCAUGA
Long non-coding RNA from Puntigrus tetrazona (Sumatra barb), 3586 nucleotides. RefSeq lists it as uncharacterized. NCBI's taxonomy places the organism in Eukaryota, Metazoa, Chordata, Actinopteri, Cypriniformes, Cyprinidae. The transcript is spliced from 3 exons. The record is from RefSeq and is a predicted model, not a curated record.